Molecule: transfer RNA, 73 nt
Organism: Camelus ferus (Wild Bactrian camel)
Lineage: Eukaryota; Metazoa; Chordata; Mammalia; Artiodactyla; Camelidae
Rfam family: tRNA
About the family: Transfer RNA (tRNA) molecules are approximately 80 nucleotides in length. Their secondary structure includes four short double-helical elements and three loops (D, anti-codon, and T loops).
Source: Rfam
GGGGAUAUAGCUCAAAUGGUAGAACACAUGCUUAGCACACCCGAGGUCCUGGGUUCAAUCCCCAGUACCUCCU